Molecule: long non-coding RNA, 210 nt
Filed under: Lathyrus oleraceus (garden pea)
Lineage: Eukaryota; Viridiplantae; Streptophyta; Magnoliopsida; Fabales; Fabaceae
Description: Pisum sativum (pea) long non-coding RNA (PSAT_LNC002177)
Source: RNAcentral
UAGAAUAUUAUUUAGUAACAAUAUAUUAAAUAUAAUAUGACACAACAAUAAAUCAAAUUAAAGAUAAUACAAAUAAAAUAGGAUAUUAUAAGACACACCCUUUUUCCAAAUUUUUAUCCCACAUUACAUCCCUAAACCCUAAUAAUUAUCCCAAAUUUUAUGUCCUAAUUCAAGAUUUAAUCAAUCCUAGUAUAAACGAUAAAACCCUAA